Molecule: ribosomal RNA, 411 nt
Filed under: uncultured microorganism
Description: bacterial SSU rRNA
Rfam family: Bacterial small subunit ribosomal RNA
Source: RNAcentral
GAGUUUGAUCGUGGCUCAGAUUGAACGCUGGCGGCAUGCCUUACACAUGCAAGUCGAACGGCAGCAUGAUCUAGCUUGCUAGAUUGAUGGCGAGUGGCGAACGGGUGAGUAAUACAUCGGAACGUGCCCUGUAGUGGGGGAUAACUAGUCGAAAGAUUAGCUAAUACCGCAUACGACCUGAGGGUGAAAGUGGGGGACCGCAAGGCCUCAUGCUAUAGGAGCGGCCGAUGUCUGAUCAGCUAGUUGGUGGGGUAAAGGCCCACCAAGGCGACGAUCAGUAGCUGGUCUGAGAGGACGAUCAGCCACACUGGGACUGAGACACGGCCCAGACUCCUACGGGAGGCAGCAGUGGGGAAUUUUGGACAAUGGGCGAAAGCCUGAUCCAGCAAUGCCGCGUGUGUGAAGAAGGCC